CCGUCCAUUUGUGUGGUUCAUUCAUUCUGGACACCCCUGGCCACCGUCUCAACUGCUGGGGGCGAAAAAAAGGGGGAAGUAGCCGAGGUCCGGCGGGGUGAUUUUGCGGCGGCGCUCGUGCUUCGCCGCCCGCCUGUAUGCGAAUGGACGCUGAGGGUAUGGAGUUUCUGCUUGAUUUGGUCGACAGGUUCCCCGUUCGGGAGGAAUUUGCUGAUAGCCUUGAACAAACAGAUCCGGUUCCCCUCCUCUACUUGUUACAGAAUGGGGCUGGAAAUCUUGAGGCUGGUGCUGCAAACGGUGGGUCUAACCUGGCUCAGAUGGCCGGCGAAGAUGACAUGGCUGCGGCGCAAGAAGGUGCCCAGCAGCGCCGAGCUGCAUCUCCGACGAGGUCUGCUCAGUCAACCGACAGUGUGAAUCCAGAGGCCCCCGGCUGGACUAAAAGAAAAAUCUGGGUUCACCUAUGUGGUGCUCGCCGACAAAUCCAGUAAGGUGAUAAAUUGAAUGCGGGAUAAUGGCAGCAGCCGCAUGCAGUACAAAUUCUUUGGGGAUGUCGUCACAUUCGACACCACAUACAGGACGAAUCUGUAUGACAUGCCAUCUGGAUUAUAUGUUGGAGUUAACAAUCACUACCGGAGCAUAAUCCUGGCGGGGUGUUGAUGUGCGAUGAACAAGAAGAAAGCUUUGAAUUGGUGUUUGCAGAAUUUUUGCGUAUGAUAGGCGGACCUGCCCCCAAAACAAUACUGACAGACCAAUGCAGGGUUAUGGACGUGGCGAUUAAGAAAACGGAUCCUGACACUGUCCACCGUUGGUGCAAGUGGCAUGUCCUGAAGAAGGCGAAGGAAACACUGGUACCACUUUACACGAAGAAGAGUGAUUUUCAGGCUGAAUUCCACAAGGUUGUGAACCACAUGUUGACUGAGGAUGAGUUCGAAUCAGCCUAGACGGGUUUGCUGGAUAAAUACAAUUUGAGGAGUCAUACAUACAUGACACAAAUAUACGAAACCAGGAGAAAAUGGGCAAAGCCAUAUUUCAGGGGUGUGUUUUGUGCAAAAAUGACGAGCACCCAGCGCAGUGAGAGUGCAAACCUUAUGCUGAAGUCAUACAUGCCCUCUGCAAGCCCAAUGCAUGUCUUUGUCAGGCAGUACAUGAGGCUUCAAUUUGGCCGCGAGUGCGAUGAGAGCUACAAGGAGAAGAGGACCAUGAUUGUAAGUACAUUUCUGUCCUUACCAAAUGGUUGGUGAUUAAAAAUGUUUUUUAAGGGGGGAUGUGGAUACUGAUGCCUGUCCGUGCUGCUCGAGUUCUUCAGCUGUUCUAAUCUGAAGAUACAAUUCACCUGUUCAUCAGCUGUCCGCGGGCCUCUCGGAUUUGGGACCAAAUCGGCCUAACUGCUACGCCGACGAUUCAAGAGCUUUGGCUCCUCCAUAUGCCGCCGCAGCUGGACUCUAGAUUCUGGCCGGAAAUAGUGCUUGUAAUCUUGUUGAAGAUUUGGGACUCUCGCAAUGCUGCUGUUUUCCGAUCUGAAGAUCACACUACACGGCUCACAAUUACGAACAUUGUAACUGAUCUUGAGCUGCACUCACAUAGGUUUAGGGAUCCGGCUGACAAGGUAGCUGCUAGGUCUUGGCUUAGCUACCUUACCACACGGCUUGCCAUGCCUCUGUAAAUCUGUAAUCUUCUUUGGCCCCCUU
Triticum aestivum (bread wheat) is the source of this 1688-nucleotide RNA transcript. RefSeq lists it as uncharacterized. The record is from RefSeq and is a predicted model, not a curated record. The transcript has 4 exons. Lineage: Eukaryota; Viridiplantae; Streptophyta; Magnoliopsida; Poales; Poaceae.